GUUCCUACGGGGGGCAGCAGUAGGGAAUAUUGCACAAUGGGGGAAACCCUGAUGCAGCGACGCCGCGUGAAGGAUGAAGUAUUUCGGUAUGUAAACUUCUAUCAGCAAGGAAGAAAAUGACGGUACUUGACUAAGAAGCCCCGGCUAAAUACGUGCCAGCAGCCGCGGUAAUACGUAUGGGGCAAGCGUUAUCCGGAUUUACUGGGUGUAAAGGGAGCGUAGGCGGCCACGCAAGUCAGAAGUGAAAACCCGGGGCUCAACCCUGGGAGUGCUUUUGAAACUGUGCGGCUAGAGUGUCGGAGGGG
RNAcentral lists this ribosomal RNA (305 nucleotides) under uncultured bacterium. Its description in RNAcentral is "bacterial SSU rRNA". It matches the Rfam family "Bacterial small subunit ribosomal RNA", at positions 335 to 657 of the family's 1533-position model. The record is from RNAcentral.